This 253-nucleotide ribosomal RNA is filed under the name uncultured bacterium. RNAcentral describes it as "partial 16S ribosomal RNA". It matches the Rfam family "Bacterial small subunit ribosomal RNA", at positions 524 to 776 of the family's 1533-position model. The record is from RNAcentral.
UACGUAGGGUGCAAGCGUUGUCCGGAAUUAUUGGGCGUAAAGAGCUCGUAGGCGGUUUGUCGCGUCUGCUGUGAAAAUCCAGGGCUUAACCCUGGACCUGCAGUGGGUACGGGCAGACUGGAGUGCGGUAGGGGAGAUCGGAAUUCCUGGUGUAGCAGUGAAAUGCGCAGAUAUCAGGAGGAACACCGGUGGCGAAGGCGGAUCUCUGGGCCGUAACUGACGCUGAGGAGCGAAAGCAUGGGGAGCGAACAGG